This 417-nucleotide ribosomal RNA is filed under the name uncultured bacterium. RNAcentral describes it as "bacterial SSU rRNA". It matches the Rfam family "Bacterial small subunit ribosomal RNA", at positions 107 to 518 of the family's 1533-position model. The record is from RNAcentral.
UGAGUAACGCGUAUCCAACCUUCCCCUUAGUAGGGCAUAGCCCGGCGAAAGUCGGAUUAAUACCCUAUGUUGUUUGAUGCGGACAUCUAAAUCAAACCAAAGAUUUAUCGCUAAGGGAUGGGGAUGCGUCCGAUUAGCUUGCCGGCGGGGUAACGGCCCACCGGGGCUUCGAUCGGUAGGGGUUCUGAGAGGAAGGUCCCCACACUGGAACUGAGACACGGUCCAGACUCCUACGGGAGGCAGCAGUGAGGAAUAUUGGUCAAUGGGCGUAAGCCUGAACCAGCCAAGUAGCGUGCCAGGAUGACCGGCCCUAGUGGGUUGUAAACUGUCUUUUGCGAGGGGAAUAAAGUCAGCUACGUGUAGUUGUUUGUAUGUACCCUGAGAAUAAGGACCGGCUAAUUCCGUGCCAGCAGCCGC